This 179-nucleotide non-coding RNA is filed under the name Paenalicyclobacillus mengziensis. Its description in RNAcentral is "Alicyclobacillus mengziensis 6S / SsrS RNA". It matches the Rfam family "6S / SsrS RNA". From Rfam's summary of the family: E. coli 6S RNA was the first non coding RNA to be sequenced, but its function was unknown until recently. It consists of 184 nucleotides that fold into an extended hairpin structure with a large single-stranded internal bulge. Lineage: Bacteria; Bacillati; Bacillota; Bacilli; Caryophanales; Alicyclobacillaceae. The record is from Rfam by way of RNAcentral.
AGAAACCUGCGAUGUGCGUAAAGCGUAUUGUGUUUUAACCGAUGCACACGAUAAGGGAACUUAGGUUCAGCAUUCUAGCAAAUGCCACCAUCAGUGUGGACUUGUGAAAAUGUCGACCAAGUACCCACCUGCUAGGAGCAGGUUCAAAACCGUGGGCUUUACGGCAAAGCGGGCGGCUG